AGAAUCAACGCUGGCGGCGUGCCUAACACAUGCAAGUCGAACGAGAAAGUGGAGCAAUCCAUGAGUAAAGUGGCGACCGGGUGAGUAACACGUGACUAACCUACCUUCAAGUGGGGGAUAACCUCGGGAAACCGGGGCUAAUACCGCAUAACAUCUUUGGAGUGGAAAUUCUGGAGAUCAAAGGAGCAAUUCGCUGGAAGAGGGGGUCGCGGCUGAUUAGCUAGUUGGCGGGGUAAUGGCCCACCAAGGCUUUGAUCGGUAGCCGGCCUGAGAGGGCGCACGGCCACACUGGAACUGAAACACGGUCCAGACUCCUACGGAGGCAGCAGUGGGGAAUUUUGCGCAAUGGGGGAAACCCUGACGCAGCAACGCCGCGUGGAGGAUGAAGUCCCUUGGGACGUAAACUCCUUUCGACCGGGAAGAUUAUGACGGUACCGGUGGAAGAAGCCCCGGCUAACUUCGUGCCAGCAGCCGC
RNAcentral lists this ribosomal RNA (475 nucleotides) under uncultured bacterium. Its description in RNAcentral is "SSU rRNA". It matches the Rfam family "Bacterial small subunit ribosomal RNA", at positions 26 to 518 of the family's 1533-position model. The record is from RNAcentral.